AAGGGCCCCACAAGAACGCGUGGAGCAUGUGGCUUAAUUUGACCCAACACGAGAAAUCUUACCGGGUCCGGACACACUGAGGACUGACAGGUAUUAUUGCAGUUCAACUGCAUGUUAAAUAUGCUAGUCCUUUCAUGAUUAUGUGAUAGGUGGUGCAUGGCCGUUCUUAGUUCGUGGAGUGAUCUGUCUGCUUAAUUGCGUUUCACUAAGGGUUUAUUUUUAACUUUAAGUUAUAUAUUUUGACCCCUACUUUAAUUAGUAGUGUGUUUUGUCAACUUUAUAAUUUUAUAAUAAAACCCUGAAAGCAACGAACGUGACCG
Molecule: ribosomal RNA, 320 nt
Filed under: Foraminifera environmental sample
Lineage: Eukaryota; Foraminifera
Description: SSU rRNA
Rfam family: Eukaryotic small subunit ribosomal RNA
Source: RNAcentral